GGUGUAGCCCAGAAGAGAGUGAUGGCGGCGCCGCCCAAUGGACGCGUGGGUGGAAGGGCCCGAGCCUCCUCAUCCACCCCCUCCUUCCGCCCCCCACUUGUGCAUGCCUCUGCCCCCCCGGGCCGCGGAACUCUCCUGGGGCGACCCCGAGUCCCACCCCGCUGCUCCGUGCCGUCCUCGCAGCUCGAGCCCUCCUCCAGCCCAGCAGUGCUCCCGCAGCGUCUGGCCGCUGGUCGUCGGCAGACGAAAGGGCUUGAACCGCGGCUGACCUUAGCCUUUGUCCCUCGGCCUAGUUCCGCAGCUGCCGUCGAGGCCGCCAGCCCCUCCCCCAGCAUGUUUGGGCUAAGCCGCCUCCUUUCCGCCUGCGUUGGAGAGAGAGGUACCAGAAGGAAUGAAAGGACUGGGGCUUGUCUCCAUGGCAACUGAAAGAAAGAGGUGGGUUAUAAAUCCUUCGCCACCCUCCUGUGGCGAAGGAGGGGAAGUGGGAGCCGGGAAGUAGAGUUGGCCUUUUGCAGGAGAGUCUGGAGCCCCUUUCUGGGUGAUGCAUUGGGGGCCAUAGAAGGAUUUGGCUGCCGCUUUGGAGCAUGGAUUUUUUUUUUAAUCAUCUUCCUUUCUCUUUUGGAGAGAAAAAUUGGUCACCUCCAGGACUGAGACCCUGACCCUUCCAAGCAUCCCCACUACCAAAGGCUGCCCAAGCCCGGAAGGAUCCCAUCCCGUUCUGUACUCUGAGGUCACUUCCUCACUCCGUCAAAUUUCACUGGACUGUGGGCUAAUUAAAAGUGCCUCCGUAUUAGCGGGGCGUGGUGGCCCAUGCCUAUAAUCCCAGCUACUUGGGAAGCUGAGGCAGGAAAAUUGCUUGAACCCGGGUGGCGGAGGCUGCAGUGACCCAACAUUGUGCAACAAGAGCGAAACUCCGUCUCAAAAAAAAUAAAAAAUAAAAAAGAGUGCCUCCCUGGGGAGACUGUAAUGCCCACUGGGCAGUGAUCCUAAUGCCCCUUGGGCAGUGAUCCUUAUUCCCCUCUCCCAUAAUGAUUGGUUGUAGCAGGCUGAACAAAAAGGUUGAGCUUCGCUUGUGCUUGCUGAAUAGAAUUCUCACGCCCACUCCACGUUAGCUCCCCUCACUGUAGGACUAGCUCUGAAAAUUCUAGCUCCUGUAGGAAGCCAACACAGACGGAUCUACAAGAACCAAAAACAGCUAUAGCUACUCUUCUAAAUCUCAGUGCCUGACAUUGCCUCUCUUUCUGCCUCCUCUCUCCACCCCCCAAAAAAUGUGGUCCUCCUUGACCUGAGGGAGCUUCCGUCCAAGUCUGAGCUCUGAUCAUCCUGAAGAAUCAAAGUAUCAUCAUCCCUUGGCUGGCAAGAUGAACUCCAACAUCAAAACACUUGAAACAGUAGUAUUUUUACACAAUUUGCCCACUGCCUCUACAUCUCACUUAGUCCUUGCAGUAACAUUUGGAUGAUGAGGUAACUUAUCCAGAAGCACAAAGCCUAAAGAAUGACAGAGCUUGGACUCCUGAGAAGUUCAGCUACUGCCCGCCUUAUGAUAACCAAAAGAAAGCGGCCGGGCGCAGUGGCUCAACUCCUGUAAUCCCAGCACUUUGGGAGGCCGAGGCGUGCGAAUCACAAGGUCAGGAGUCCGAGACCAGCCUGGCCAACACAGGGAAACCCCGUCUCUACUAAAAAAAACAAACACAAAAAUUAGUUGGGCGUGGUGGUGGGCACCUGUAAUCCCAGCUACUUGGGAGGCUGAGGCAGGAGAGUCACUUGAAUCCGGUAGGCGGAGGUUGCAGUGAGCCGAGAUCGUGCCACUGCACUCCAGCCUGGGAGACAGUGAGACUCCGUCUCUAAAAAAAAAUGAAUAAAUAAAUAAGAAGGCACACCACAA
Molecule: long non-coding RNA, 1885 nt
Organism: Homo sapiens (human)
Lineage: Eukaryota; Metazoa; Chordata; Mammalia; Primates; Hominidae
Gene: PANK2-AS1
Product: PANK2 antisense RNA 1
Source: Ensembl